This 493-nucleotide ribosomal RNA is filed under the name uncultured bacterium. Its description in RNAcentral is "partial 16S ribosomal RNA". It matches the Rfam family "Bacterial small subunit ribosomal RNA", at positions 29 to 507 of the family's 1533-position model. The record is from RNAcentral.
ACGAACGCUGGCGGCGUGCUUAACACAUGCAAGUCGAACGGAAAGGCCUGCUUUCCCUUGUGGAUUGCGGGUACUCGAGUGGCGAACGGGUGAGUAACACGUGAGUGAUCUGCCCCCAACUUGGGUAUAAGCCUGGGAAAUUGGGUCUAAUUCCCGAUAGGACUGCAGGGUGGUGCCUGUGGUGGAAAACGAUUUUCUAGUGGUUGGGGAUGAGCUCGCGGCCUAUCAGCUUGUUGGUGGGGUAAUGGCCUACCAAGGCGGCGACGGGUAGCCGGCCUGAGAGGGUGGACGGCCACAUUGGGACUGAGGUACGGCCCAGACUCCUACGGGAGGCAGCAGUGGGGAAUAUUGCACAAUGGGCGGAAGCCUGAUGCAGCGACGCCGCGUGGGGGAUGACGGCCUUCGGGUUGUAAACUCCUUUCGACCGCGAGGAAGCCACCUGGUUGGAAGGGUGGUGACGGUAGUGGUAGAAGAAGCACCGGCUAACUACGUG